AGUCAACGCUGGCGGCGUGCCUCAGACAUGCAAGUCGAACGAUUAAAGCUCUCUUCGGAGAGUGUAUAGAGUGGCGCACGGGGUGAGUAACACGUAAGUAAUCUACCUUCGAGUGGGGAAUAACGUCCGGAAACGGACGCUAAUACCGCAUAAUGCAGCGGCAUCGCAAGAUGACAGUUGUUAAAGAUUUAUCGCUUGAAGAGGAGCUUGCGGCAGAUUAGCUAGUUGGUAAGGUAACGGCUUACCAAGGCUACGAUCUGUAUCCGGUCUAAGAGGACGGUCGGACACACUGACACUGAAUAACGGGUCAGACUCCUACGGGAGGGCA
Molecule: ribosomal RNA, 328 nt
Filed under: uncultured bacterium
Lineage: Bacteria
Description: bacterial SSU rRNA
Rfam family: Bacterial small subunit ribosomal RNA
Source: RNAcentral